Molecule: long non-coding RNA, 1158 nt
Filed under: Callithrix jacchus (white-tufted-ear marmoset)
Lineage: Eukaryota; Metazoa; Chordata; Mammalia; Primates; Cebidae
Description: lncRNA (ENSCJAG00000063539.2)
Source: RNAcentral
AUGGACACAGCAGUACCUGUGUCACAGAGGACUGACCAAAAGCAGUGCCAGACACACAGCAAACACCUCACUGCAGCUGCUCCCAGUGCCCUGGGACCCACAGCCCAAACCUGCCAACGAUCCUGGCAAUCUACAGUUGGCAGGCAAAGGCCAGCACUGGUCUACACAGCAUUCCCGCUGGGGACACAGAGGACAGGCAGGCCAGCACUGGUCUACACAGCAUUCCCCCGGGGACACGGAGGGGAGGCGGGCCUGGGCUGGUCUACACAGCAUUCCCCUGGGGACACGGAGGGGAGGCGGGCCUGGGCUGGUCUACACAGCAUUCCCCUGGGGACACAGGGGAGGUGGACCUGGGCUGGUCUACACAGCAUUCCCCCUGGGGACACGGAGGGGAGGCGGGCCUGGGCUGGUCUACACAGCAUUCCCCUGGGGACACAGAGGGGAGGUGGGCCUGGGCUGGUCUACACAGCAUUCCCAUCUCCCCGCCAGGACAUGAGGGACAGAAGGGCUGGGUGGGCUGGUACCACUCACUCCUGCCACCUCGAGCCUUCUCUCCUCCUCUGGCCAUUUUUCUUCUCUCCCUCUGGACACCCCAGCAUCAACUGGCUUCUCCUUCCACUUGUCUCUACCUCCAGCCAGCUUCCGGCCACCCCAGCUUUCUCUUCUUGGGGUUUUUCACCAGUCCCCCCACCUCUCAGGGCAAUGGCAAGCCCCCCUGCCCCCGGCUGGCCGAGGUGCCCCCCAGCUCACUCCCACACCGUGCUUUCCUGUCUCCCUCCAGGUCCUGCACUUUUAAUUUUCAUUUCUUUGGUUUUCGAGUCCAUUCCUCCCCAGCUUUGUCUUCCUCCUUUUCUUUUCUGGGAACCAAGGCCUCCUGUCCCACCUUGCUGCCACUACCUGUCUGUCACCUCCUUCUUGGUCUUCCCACCCACACUUUUCCCUACUUAUCUUCCUUCUGUGCUCAUCUCCCCUGUAACUCUCCCUCCUCCUCAACAUGGCCAGCCUCGUCCUCUGUGCUGGGUGAGCACCACGCCCCCGCUGUGCACCUGCUCCUGGCCCUGCUCCGCACCUCUCCCGUGGGGGCCGCCCUGUCCAUCCCCACCACCCGCCGCACCUCUCCCGUGGGGGCUGCUCUGUCCAUCCGCACUGCCCGCCUGA